Molecule: transfer RNA, 72 nt
Organism: Vitis vinifera (wine grape)
Lineage: Eukaryota; Viridiplantae; Streptophyta; Magnoliopsida; Vitales; Vitaceae
Rfam family: tRNA
About the family: Transfer RNA (tRNA) molecules are approximately 80 nucleotides in length.
Source: Rfam
GUGGUUGUAGUUUAGUGGUAAGAAUUCCACAUUGUGGCUGUGGAGACUUAGGCUCGAAUCCCAAUAACCACA